GGCCAAUCUCUAUCAAGUAGCGCCAU
RNAcentral lists this small RNA (26 nucleotides) under Bombyx mori (domestic silkworm). RNAcentral's name for it is "ovarian small RNA-17406". Lineage: Eukaryota; Metazoa; Arthropoda; Insecta; Lepidoptera; Bombycidae. The record is from RNAcentral.